UUUCCGAAACAUAGCUCUGUUUGGUUCCGGAGAAAUCUGAGGGAAAGAAAAAAGAGGACUUUAAACAAAGAUGAGCUUAAUUGGGGGUUUUGUAUGCUCAAGAUUCUAAUCUCUCCUCCUUUCCCACAUUUUUAUCGGCAGCCAAUGACACCCAAAUCACAAUCCCGAGCCCUACACUUCCUAUGUCCUUAAUCAACUCUGUAAAGCAACCAAUGCAAUACUCUCAAUGAGGAUCACAAACCAUUUAGCAUUUUGGCAGAAAAUUGAGAUUUUUGAAGUCCAUAUGGUGGAUCGAAGGUGCUCCUUUGAAUUUGGGACAGUCUACUUUCUAGUGACAGCAUCCUAGGGUGGAUGGUCUUUCGACGCAUCAUGGGCCAGAUGGCUCUUUGGCAUGAAAGUUCCAUGUGGAUUGCGUGUCGUGUUGGAAUUUAUUCGUUAGCUUGGUGAUUAGGAAUUUAUAAGUAAUAUCAUGUUAUUAGUCUUAGCCUAUGUAUAUUACUAUAUCAGAAGAUGUUUGAUUACGUUGUGUUUAAGCACAGUAGUUAUUGUUUGGUGUAUGAUGGUUUGAAAACUAAGAACUGCUGGAGCAGGAGGAUGUUUUUGUGGGACAGAGGUAAUUAAAGUCUAACUGAUUUUAAUCAGUUUUACCUGGCUUGUUUCAGGUUUUAAAACUAGUGACUGGGACUAUCUUAUCAAAUUGAAUCUUUGUGAAUAAA
Molecule: long non-coding RNA, 716 nt
Organism: Juglans regia (Persian walnut)
Lineage: Eukaryota; Viridiplantae; Streptophyta; Magnoliopsida; Fagales; Juglandaceae
Exons: 3
Source: RefSeq, a predicted model, not a curated record